Ictalurus furcatus (blue catfish) is the source of this 627-nucleotide long non-coding RNA. RefSeq lists it as uncharacterized. The transcript has 3 exons. The record is from RefSeq and is a predicted model, not a curated record. Lineage: Eukaryota; Metazoa; Chordata; Actinopteri; Siluriformes; Ictaluridae.
ACACACGCUGACAGCGGUAGACCAAUCACAACAGACUGGGACAUCUGACCAAUCAGAGUAGAGUAUGUUCUCUGAAAGGAGGAGUUUAGACUGAAUCCUUUAGAACGGAUCAUUUAAUGAGUCGUUUUUGACGCUGGGGAAAAAAGGGUUAUAAUCCUGAGGUCUGGCUAAACUUCAACCACCAACUGGGGGAAACAUCCAAACAGGAGAAUGGAGAACAUUUCUUCUUACGACUAAGGCUCGGGUGCAGACGAGGAUGCAGCUCGGUGAGCUCACACACGGCGUUUACCGACAGCACGAGAAAGCCCUCACGCUUCAGGGAAGUCCCGACACGCCCUGGAGAGCACUGCCACGCCAGCCUCACACAAACCCUCACACACUCACUUGCCAUUUUUAAUAGAAACACCUGUACACUUGUGCAUUCAUGCAAUUAUCCAAACAGGUGGCUGCGGCGCAAUGCAUAAAAUCAUGCCGAUACAGGUCAAGAGCUGACAGGAGUCGAACCUGAUGUGGCCUUUUGUAGCUCAUCCGCCUCAAGGUUUAGCAUGCUGUGCGUUCUGAGAUGCUUUUUUGCUCAGCACAGGUGUAAAGAGUGGUUAUUUGAGUUGCUAUCCGCUCAAACCAACC